GCCAGGGUAACCAAGUGGUUAAGGUGCGGGCCUGGAGAGCCCGUGGUCCCUCGGGACCGCGUGGGUUCGAAUCCCACCCCUGGCGCCA
Molecule: transfer RNA, 88 nt
Filed under: Candidatus Bathyarchaeota archaeon
Lineage: Archaea; Thermoproteati; Candidatus Bathyarchaeota
Description: tRNA-Ser
Rfam family: tRNA
About the family: Transfer RNA (tRNA) molecules are approximately 80 nucleotides in length.
Source: RNAcentral